Molecule: non-coding RNA, 259 nt
Organism: Chiloscyllium plagiosum (whitespotted bambooshark)
Lineage: Eukaryota; Metazoa; Chordata; Chondrichthyes; Orectolobiformes; Hemiscylliidae
Source: RefSeq, a predicted model, not a curated record
CAGGGAUAUAAGAAGCCUAAGUAUUACAUUGCAACACAAGGUCCUCUGUCUCACACCAUCGCUGAUUUCUGGGAAAUGGUUUGGCAAGAAGAUUCCAACAUUAUCAUCAUGUUGACCAACCUUAUUGAGCAGGACAAGCCCAAGUGUGAACAGUACUGGCCUAAUCAGCUUCAGAGGGAAAGAUAUGGAGAUUUCACCGUCGUCUCCACAGCACCUCCCAGUCGGACAUCAAAGAGCUUCAUCAUCCGAAAUUUCGAAG